Molecule: microRNA precursor, 132 nt
Filed under: Capitella teleta
Lineage: Eukaryota; Metazoa; Annelida; Polychaeta; Capitellidae
Description: microRNA mir-598
Source: RNAcentral
AUUAGUCUAUGAUGAUUAUGCUCGGGUUGAUAAUGUUCUCGUGAAUCAAAAUAACUGACGAGACGAAGUCGAGUUCGGUUAUUUGGCUCCAGAUUCACUUGAACAUUAUCAAUCCGAGCAUAAUUAUCUCCU